AAGGACAUAAAUAUUCCUGUCUCUGUAUAGCCACUAUUCAUAAUCAUAAAAAUUAUAUACUUCUCUGUUUAAAAUCAAUCCACAGAGGAAGAUGUACCGGCUUUGUCACACUUGAGAAUAACACUUGCCAGCAUGACAUACAUAUUCGGGUUGGCAGUUUUAGUAAUACUCCCUCAAUCACUGUCACUCCUGCAAAGUGAUGUUACACAAGCUUCACGUGAUAUUGAAGACUAUAAAGUUUUCAGAUUGUCUUGGCAGUAGUCACUGCUUCAAGGGUGUUAUGCCUCCACAAACAGGUAGGAAAAAACUUAUUCCAGCAGACCUUUUCAGAACUAAUUUUUCAGGGGAAACAGCCCUUUUGCUGUGUGCUGGGGUUUUAUUUUUGUUAUUUUUAGAAAGACAAGAAACUAGUUUCAGAUUUUACGAUAGUUUAAUUGUUAUUUAACCUUUGUGCACUAUCAAUUUUAACUAUUUUCGUAAAACUGCCUUGAGCUCCACAAUAGGGAAAAGGCGGGAUGACUGUGAUGAUCAUUAUCAUAGACUACUAUACACUUAAAGGCAGGGUCAGCCCUGGUUGGUCCUUGGAUGGGAGACCACCAAUGAAUACUAGGUUCUACAGACUAUAUUUCAGAAGAAGGAACUUGAAAGAAGGGCAGUGGCUGAAGGCACAUUAUUUAACUUUCUUUGGGCUGCCCUGUUCCCAGCCACAAUCUUAAGGUGGUUAGGAUGAUAAAAAGCCCCAAACAGUUCAGAGACAACCUUCUGUCUUGCCUCUCAUGUCCCAGUGUGACUGAUAAGCUAAACCCAAUGGGCCUGGAAAACAACACUAGAAAGUACAGUAUAGGGAGAAAUUAUUAGGGUAUGUCUCCUAAACUGAAAUAUUCUUUUCCAAAGGUCUUUACCAGCAGGAUGUCCUAUCUCCAUUUGCCAUAUUUAGCAUAUUGCACUUUAUGCACAUCUCUGUUGUAUCCAAUUCAGAAGCAUACUGCUCACUGAGCCCACAAAACAGGAGGGAGAACUGGGGAUCCCAAACAAGAUGCCCCAGUCUAUAAAAGGAAGAAUCUUGUUGUGGGCUCCUGCCAACCUAGAAUAAUGCCUUUGGAACUGAGCAUUCUCUGUGGCUCUUACACUUCAACCAUAAAGUGAACUGCUGAACUCUCACAAUCUGUCUGCCUGACAUCUGGUUUCAUUAAAGCUUUUUCUGCCUAUCCCGGGGGAAAAGGAAGAAAACAGCAGAGAAGUCUGUAGAGGAAAAAACACUCCCUAAGGAUGUAAGACAGAUUGUGGAUCACUGGCCAAAGUCAGGGGACCAUCCACCACAGGGAUGGGAAACUUCUGUCCCUACAUAUGUUAAUAAACUACUGAUCUGAUCUCUUA
Anolis carolinensis (green anole) is the source of this 1377-nucleotide long non-coding RNA. RefSeq lists it as uncharacterized. The transcript has 2 exons. Lineage: Eukaryota; Metazoa; Chordata; Lepidosauria; Squamata; Anolidae. The record is from RefSeq and is a predicted model, not a curated record.